This 904-nucleotide ribosomal RNA is filed under the name uncultured bacterium. RNAcentral describes it as "bacterial SSU rRNA". It matches the Rfam family "Bacterial small subunit ribosomal RNA", at positions 8 to 916 of the family's 1533-position model. The record is from RNAcentral.
AGAGUUUGAUCCUGGCUCAGAUUGAACGCUGGCGGCAGGCCUAACACAUGCAAGUCGAGCGGGGGUAGCAAUACCCUAGCGGCGAACGGGUGAGGAAUGCUUGGGAAUCUGCCUCGUAGUGGGGGAUAACGUUCCGAAAGGAACGCUAAUACCGCAUACGUCCUACGGGAGAAAGGGGGGGAUCUUCGGACCUCUCGCUAUGAGAUGAGCCCAAGCGGGAUUAGCUAGUUGGUGAGGUAAAGGCUCACCAAGGCGACGAUCCCUAGCUGGUCUGAGAGGAUGAUCAGCCACUCUGGAACUGAGACACGGUCCAGACUCCUACGGGAGGCAGCAGUGGGGAAUAUUGGACAAUGGGCGAAAGCCUGAUCCAGCCAUGCCGCGUGUGUGAAGAAGGCCUUCGGGUUGUAAAGCACUUUAAGCGAGGAGGAAGGUUCGUUACUUAAUACGUAACGGAAUUGACGUUACUCGCAGAAUAAGCACCGGCUAACUCUGUGCCAGCAGCCGCGGUAAUACAGAGGGUGCAAGCGUUAAUCGGAAUUACUGGGCGUAAAGCGCGCGUAGGCGGUUGCGUAAGUUGGAGGUGAAAUCCCCGGGCUCAACCUGGGCAUUGCCUUCAAAACUGCGCAACUAGAGUAUUGGAGAGGAAGGUAGAAUUCCAGGUGUAGCGGUGAAAUGCGUAGAGAUCUGGAGGAAUACCGAUGGCGAAGGCACCCUUCUGGCCAAAUACUGACGCUGAGGUGCGAAAGCAUGGGGAGCAAACAGGAUUAGAUACCCCUGGUAGUCCAUGCCGUAAACGAUGUCAACUAGGUGUUGGGGAACUUGAUUCCUUAGUGCCGCAGCUAACGCAUUAAGUUGACCGCCUGGGGAGUACGGUCGCAAGACUAAAACUCAAAUGAAUUGACGG